Molecule: long non-coding RNA, 650 nt
Filed under: Dasypus novemcinctus (nine-banded armadillo)
Lineage: Eukaryota; Metazoa; Chordata; Mammalia; Cingulata; Dasypodidae
Description: lncRNA (ENSDNOG00000051398.1)
Source: RNAcentral
GCUGUUGACUUCUAUUUGCAAAUAUUUUUGUUCAGAAUUUUUGCAUCUAUAUUCAUUAAAGAAAUUGUUCCACAAUUUUGUUUUCUUGUAAUGUCCUUAUCUGUCUGUAGUCUUAGGGUGAUGUUGGUUUCAUAAAAUGUGUUGGAUAAUAUUCCCUCCUCUUCAAAAUUUUGGAAGAGUUUAAAGAGGAUGGUAUCAGUUUUUUUCAAAAUAUUUGUUAGGAUUCACAUGUGAAGGCAUCUGCUCCAGGAUUUUCUCAGUUGGAGAAUUUUUUUUUUUAAGAUUUAUUUAUUUAUUUAUUUCUCUCCCCUUUCCCCACCCCAGUUGUCUGUUCUCUGUGUCUAUUUGCUGCAUGUUCUUCUUUGUCCGCCUCUGUUGUUGUCAGCCGCUGCGGUGUGGGGUGGCGCAGCGGUGGCGGUCUGCGUCUGGCUGAGGGACUGGCGACCGUCGGCUCCUGCGAGCUUCUGACGCUCGAUGAAGCCGGAGGAGGACGAGAGGCGGUUCUUCCCGGAGGCGAAGGAGACACGGUUCCAGAGCUGGAUCCCUACAAGGACUCAAAAGAGCCUGGGGAGGACACUCAGUUGAAACAUUAUAAGUGAGCAUUUUGUUUGGGUUAAAAUCUGGGCUCCAGACCAGUAAUCUCUGAAUAA